CGGCGCCAUUUUGUCUCGGCAGCGGUGGCCGUAGCUCCAUCGCAUUUUAUGUUUCUGGCGAGAAGGGAACGGAGUUUUCAUCAGGUAGAUUGGUUUUUGUGCGGCCGUCCUCCACCGUUUCCUCCAGGACAGCACCUAGUCGUGGCCGGAGGAGUCUCAGAGCUGUCAGAAAGAAUAAGACUGAUUUUAUGGGAAAAUUAAGCAGAUGCUCCAGUUUGAGAAACCUGGAUCUGCGAUCUGUUUGUGGUACCAGCAUCAAGAUGAUUUAUGGUAAUAAGGUACUCAGUCUUUGCUUAAAAUAAAUUUUACGUUUAUCAAAGUAAAAUUUACCAGCUUUUUUUCCUAAAGAGGCUAGUCAUAUCUCAUCAGUGGUUACAAAGUAUCCUUACAAUUGAACCUACAUUUGUUAAUCCUGUUCAGUGUGUAUGAAAAUCACUUGGUGGCCGGGCAUGGUGGCUCACGCCUGUAAUCCCAGCACUUUGGGAGGCCAAGGCGGGCAGAUCACAAGGUCAGGAGUUCGAGACCAGCCUGGCUAAUAUAGUGAAACCCCAUUUCUACUAAAAAUGCAAACAUUAGUCAGGCAUGGUGGCAGGUGCCUGUAGUCCCAGCUACUUGGGAGGCUGAGGCAGGAGACUCUCUUCAACCCGUGAGGCAGAGGUUGCAGUGAGUCGAGAUCAUGUCACUGCACUUCAGCUUAAGCAACAGAGCGAGACUCCAUCUCAAAAAAAGAAAAGCACGUCACUCGAUGUUCUUUCUUUCAUAAGAGUUGAAGAACUAGGUAUAUCUGCUUAUAUUAUGGCAUCUAUAGUAGCUUAGCUGCUCAUAUUUGGGUCUCUUUAGAACCAGUGUCUUUCAAAGAGGGUUUUAACUAUGCUGGUGUAAAUUUUAAGAAUAGAUACAUUCAAAGAAGAAUUCAACAUUCAUGUGACAUUCAUACUUUGGAACUUUGGGAAAGUAUAGGAAUGACCAUAGAUUGGCUUAGGGAUAGUCAAUUUACCUGUCUGUAAAUGGAUCCAAUUUAGUAUUGUUCCUGUAUUUUUCUAAGACCAACACUUGUGUCAUUCACAGUUAAAUAUAUGAGUUGUGGCCAGGCCCGGUGGCUCAUGCCUGUAAUUUCAGCAUUUUAGGAGGCUGAGGUGAACAGAUUGCUCAAGUCCAGGAGUUCAAGACCAGCCUGGGCAACAUAGUGAGAUGCGGUCUCUACAAAAAAUUUUUAAAAGUUAGCCAAGCAUGGUGGUGCUUGCCUGUGGUCCCAGCUACUUGGGAGGCUGAGGUGGGAGGAUUGCUUGAGCCAUAUGCUCUAAUAUAUUUUAAAAUACAUAUUUUAAAUAUAUUUUGAGUGGUAAAAUGUAGCAGAUAAUGUUACAUAAAAGAAGCCAUGGUAAUGACAUGACAUUACUGGUUUUGAGUUGUUUGUGUAGUAGUUAGCUAUUAAUACUCAGGUAUAAUGAUUUGCUAUUUAAACUACACAAAUGCUCAAAGUCCAGCGAUACCCUGCACCCAAAUUCAGUGGCUAGAUUACCUUCUUAGGAAAGCACAACACUUCAAUGGAGUGACACUGGCAUGAGUCCACUAGAGGGUGUGUAUACAUGGCCUGAGUUCAAAUUGUUCCUGCUGUGAGUACUGCUUUUCAGCUUCAAGUUAUUCUUAUCGGCCACAGUACUGUUUAUUCCACUUAGUAACAGUUCUGUUUACAGAGCACUUUAACAUAAAUUCUGAUUUUUAACAUGAAAGCUGUCUGAUGUUGGUAUUUUUAUUUUAAUCUUUAGAGAUCAAGAAAUUUUUUUAGUGACAGAAUAGGGACUUUAUUGAUCCUUAAAUCCGCCCCUCACCACAAUAAAGGAAAAAAGCAAAAACAUCCUUGACUCAUGUAUUGAAGGGUCUUUUUUGAGAAGGGUCAGUUUUUGAAAAAUUAUCCAAAACUGAAACAUCUGUCAUCUGUAUCACAUCUAAAGAUUAACAGUGACUGAUGACCACCAGUUACUUCAUAUGAAAGUGGGAAACCGUAUCAGUUAUUUGUCCACUAAGUUGGUAGGUGCUUUUUGUACAAAAGCCCAGGAGAAUAUGAUCUGUAAAUUCUAGUUGAGUGAUGAAGAUGGGGCUUUGAAUUAAUCUACAGUCUUGGAAUUAAUUCUGCAGCAUUUUAACCAGGGAAUUUUUCAGUAGUCAUAAAUCUAUAUUUUAAUACUGAGUAAAUGUCCUCAUUUACCCCCACCAAUUUUGUAAAGCAGAUAUUAACCAAACUUCAAUAGUUAUAAGACAAAAAUUUAAUGAAAAUUGGACAGUAUGUAUAAUCCAGGGCUAAAUAGUUACAUUGGACUGGAGUAGAAAUUUAAAAUACAAUAGAUGCUGGAGUAAAUGUUACAUAUUAUCAUCAUCUGAUUCAUCUUCUUCCUUCAGAGAUUCCUGUUAAGAGAAAACAGGUGUUUAAAAUUGAUUUUUAAAAUUGUUAUAUCCCACACCUGUGGGCAAGUUAAGCUACAACAACCUGAAUUAAGUGGUUAAAUUCCUCUACUUGUAACUGAAUGAACAGUUUCAGAAUAAGAUACCCAAGCAAAGUUAAUUAAGCAAAUGUUGCUCUAACAUGCAAUGACUGUAUCUUUGAUAGAAUAUAUACUUAAGAGGCCUGGUGCAGUGUUCAUGCCUGUAAUCCCAGCACUUUACGGGGGCCAAAGUAGGCAGAUCACGUGAGUUCAAGAGUUUGAAACUAGCCUGGUGAAAACCCGUCUCUGUAUUAUUGGUGAAGCCAAAAAUACAAAAGUAGCCAGGUAUGGUGGCAUGUUCCUGUAAUCCCAGCUACUUGGGAGGCGGAGGCAGGAGGAUCGCUUGAACCCUGGAGGCAGAGGUUGCAGUGAGCAGAGAUGGUGCCACUGCCCUCCAGCCUGGGUGACAGAGCAAGACUCCGUCUCAAAAAAAAAAAAAAAAAAAAGAACAAAUAUUUAAAGUAUUAAAAGUCCUAAAAAACUCUUUGCAGUCUAAACCUCCCAAGUUUUUUUUUUUUGGAACCAAGGCAACUUUACCCACUAGAGAUAACCUAGAAAAUUUCUAUCUUUAGUUCAACUGAACUCUCAGUGUUAUUUCAUAGAAACCACCCCAGUCUAUUUAUAUUAUUCAACACAUAAUUUUGGUUAGAGAAUUUUUUUUUUUUUAAAUUAGGGAUGGGGGUCUUGCUGUGCUGCUCAGGCUGGUCUCAAACUCCUGGGCUAAGUGAUUCCCUGACUGUACCUGGCCAAGAGAAGUUUUUGUGCUGUGGCUUACCUUAGCAUAUUUCUCUGCUUCUUCUCUUAUAUCUUUUGGAACAAUUUCAUGUCUUCCAUUAGUUACUGUAAAUUAAGCCACAUGUGUAAAUGAAUUUUAAAUUGAGUACCAUAUUGUAACUUGCAGUAUACCAUAGGAUCUACCCAAUCCACAUAUCUGACUCACCUAAGGUUGCAAAGUUGUACUAUGAGUAAUACUCGAAUAUUUUUGUGUGCUGCUUCUACAUGAGAUUAUAUGUGCCUACAUAUUAAGUUCUUAUGGAAAUGAAAGUAAAUUAUGCUAUUUAUAAAUCCUGAGCAUUAAUUUAUAGCAUAGUAUCUUAAAACCAUGAAAUGGAUGUUUCAAAAAAUAACGUGUUCACAACUUAAGUCAAUUAUUAAGCAGAACUUUCCCUUCAUUAGACAACCUAGUAAAUUUGCUUUAGCUUUCAUUAUAUUAGAAAGGACACUCAGUUGUAAAUUAGCUGUGGUACAGAUCAUUCCUAAGGCAAAUAAAUGUACAAAAAUAACUUACAUUCACCAACCCAGCUGAGUUCUAGUUCAAAAGCUUUAUCCUUAACUUCGUCAUGUACUAUGUAAAUUCUAGAAUAGAAAAGGGAAAGGUAAGAUUUUGGUAACCUCCAAACAUUGAAGUAGUUCACAGACCCAAAGUCAGUACAAAUUAGAAUGUCCAUCCAUAAUAAAAGUAUCUAUAAAAUUACACAGACACAUUCUACAUAGUAUUUAACAUUAGAGAAGACAAAUUACACAGGGACUGAAAUAAAAUGAAACAUCUACUCUCCCGACAAAUGUUGAAUAUACCUAAUCAACCCAAGUUCAGUUUAUUUUUGCACAUUGCUUUAGAGAUAUAACUUGGCUGGGCACAGUGGCUCACACCUGUAAUCCCAACACUUUGGGAGACCAAGGCGGAUGGAUCACUUGAGGUCAGUUCGAGACUAGCCUGGCCAACAUGGUGAAACCCUGUCUCUACUAAGAAACAAAAAUCAGCCAGGUGUGGUGGUGGGCGCCUGUAAUCUCAGCUACUCAGGAGGCUAAGGCAGGAGAAUUCCUUGAACCCGGGAGGCAGGGGUUGCAGUGAGCCAAGAUCACACUACUGCACUCCAUCCUGGGCUACAGUAGAGCGAGACUCCAUCUCAGAAAAAAAAAAAGAUACAACUAUAAAAGAUACCUCAUAAAGAACACGGAUUCACUAGGAAGAGGCGUCAUUAACUGUGCCCUUUUAGAAUAUUUUGUCCAUUAACUUAAAUAUAUUUAAAACCAACUAAUUGGCUGGACAUGGUGGCUCGUGCCUGUAAUCCUAGCACUUUGGGGAGGCAGAGGCGGGUGGAUCAUGAGGUCAGGAGUUCGAGACCAUCCUGGCCAACAUGGUGAACCCACGUCUCUACUAAAAAUACAAAAAUUAGCCAGGUGAGGUGGCCAUAGGCCUGUAGUCCCAACUACUCGGGAAACUGAGGCAGGAGACUUGCUUGAACCCAGGAGGUAGGGGCUGCAGUGAGCUGAGAUCACGACACUGCACUCCAGCCUGGGCAACAGAGUGAGACUCUGUUUCAAAAAAAUAAAAAAAAAAAAACUAAUUUAUGUGCUUGCAAUUAUUAGUGGUCUCUUCAACCUAUAGCUUCUUGGCAGUAGUCUUUUUAAGCUCCUUGUCCAUUUUAUAAUGGCAUAUAUGCCACAUAACCUGGCCUUCACAUUGUAGUACCUUACAAAUUACAGCAAAGAAGGAGGCACUGUCAUGCAACAUAUUAAAGUAACAUAAAAAGUAUCAAGAGGCCAGGUGCGGUGGUUCACAUCUGUAAUCCCAGCACUUUGGGAGGCCAAGGUGGGUGGAUCACAAGGUCAGGAGUUCAAGACCAGCCUGGCCAAGAUGGUAAAGCCUGUCUCUACUAAAAAUACAAAAAUUAGCCAGGUGUGGUGGUGGGCGCCUGUAAUCCCAGCUACUUGAGAGGCUGAUGCAGGAGAAUUGCUUGAACACGGGAGGCGGAGGUUGCAGUGAGCCAAGAUCGUGCCACUGCCCUCCAGUCUGGACGACAGAGUGAGACUCCAUCUCAAAAAAAAAAAAGUAUCAAAUUAAGUACAGUAGCAGAGUAUAGCUUUAUCUAAUACUAUGCACUGAGUUACAUACCUUACUUUUUGGAGGGUCUUCUAAAACCUUGCUAUAAUAUGAGAGGAUCUUGAUUUUCUACAACUAAGUAAAAGAUAACAUGCUGCUCCAUUUUCUUAAAUGAUGAAGGGAUGGCUUUCCUAACAUGGAACACUUAACAGAUGACUACCAUUAUACCUAAAUAUAAAAGAUGGUAAGAACUGAUUUCCAGAAGGACUUCAAAGGAUUGGUUCGGUGAAGGAAACAGAGUAUAUCAUGAUAACAUACUAUACAAUUCAAGGAAGAUAUCUGACUUCCUUUCUUAGCAGCUCUGCUGCAUGUUGGUUCCUAGUGUUGCCAUUAUUAACUGACAAUCAUAGAAUGGCUUCUGCUUGCUUCACAACUGAAACUAGGAGGGCGGAGGGGAGGAGGUGGCAAGAGGGGUAAAGGCAGUAGCAGUAAUGAUGGACCGGUUAAUAAGAGACUCUGAGUGUGAUGUAAAUAGUAUGUUUAUUAAACAAUAGAGCCCAUUGGAAUUUUUUUCUUCCACGUAUUGUUAGAUGUAAAACCUGAUACACUACCAUACAGACAGGUGAUUGACUAGACCUUGUUUAUGUAGUUCUAAUGUGGAAUACUUAGAGUUGUUAUGAAUUACGAUUAUCCAUAACUUUUGAAUCUAAAAAGCUGGCUACACAACGUAUUUUGUUGGAAUCUUUUUGUAAUACCAAAUGUCUACACUCUUUGAUCUAGAGAAUCACAAAAUUUUAGAAACAUCACUACCCAGGUUAAUUGACUUUUUUAUUGUUUACUGUCCAAAUACCUGUUACAUAUUAAUAGUAUUCUACUUUAUAUACCUGUAAUAAACUAUUCAGGGUUUCUUAAGCUGGUUGUUGAAAUGUUUUGUAAUACUGCUCUUCUUACCUUGUUAUAGGAACUUUUAUAAUAAACCUGAAAAAGUGAAACAUAUCUUUCCCAAAUAAAUAGCAGAUUAUAUAAAUGAGCCAGCUUCAUGGAUCAUGUAUUGAAAUAAUUAGUUGUAACCUAUAAAGUUUGUAAGCAUUCUUACAAUAGAGGCAAUCUUAAGAUUACUAUUAUUAGGACUUAAGAGAUUUGAGAAGUUGGGAGCUAACAAAUUAAGACCCUAAUGGUAUAUGUCCUUAACCUGUAACAGGAGUUUAUUUUGUCAAGCUAUUUUUCCCAUCCUAUUCAUUACUACUAAAAAAUAUUGCUUAAAAACAUUUUCUUCCUUCGUGAGGCUUCUUAGAAUGUUAAAUUUACCUUCUAAAAAUUAUACACUAAGUUAUUUUACAGGAAAACAGCUUCUUAGGAUUAAUGUAAUAUAUAUAUGCAAAGGUCAAAUGAAAUAUUUUUGUGGAUGGUAAGAAAAAUUUCAACUUACAUUUUUGCAACUUCUUUAACGAUAUCACGGCAGGUCAUUUCUUUCAUCUAUAGAAAAUAAAAUGUAUACUGUUCAUCAGAAGAACAUUUUCCACUUGUGUAAUAACUAUUUUCACUUUUAUACUCAGAUAUAAAACCAAGGAAAAUAACCUAAAGUCUGAAAAAGACCAGAAUCGAAGUUUCCUGAUUCAUAUUUUAAUGUUUUGAAAUUUAUACUCCAGGCUGGGUGCAGUGGCUUGUGCCUGUAAUCCCAGCACUUUGGGAGGCCGAGGCGGCCGGAUUGCCUGAAGUCAGAAGUUCGAGACCAGCCUGACCAACAUGGUGAAACCCUGUCUCUACUUAAAAAUACAAAAGAGCUGGGCAUGGAGGUGGUGCGCGCCUGUAACCCUAGCUACUCGGGAGGCUGAGGCCUAAGAAUCUCUUGAACCCAGGAGGCAGAGGUUGUAGUGAGCCGGGAUCACGCCACUGCACUCUAGCCUGGGCGACAGAGAGAGAGACUGUCUAAAAAAGGAAAAGAAAAAAAUUUAUACGCCAAAAAAGAUAUUCUGAGAUAACCUGUAGUUACCACUAACUUUGUGACAAAAUUAUAAAAAUCCACAGCCAUCUAUGAAUCUGUAGGCAGACCUGAAGUUUGAACGACUGGUGAAGACAUCUGAUUUUCUUUAUAGCCAAGUUAGGAUAACAAAAUGCAAACAAGUCAUUAAUAUUUACUAUAUGCAAGAUACAGAAAGAUGAAGGAAGGAGUAAGAAGUUAUCCUUCGUGGAACUAUUCAAAGCAAAAAUGCAAAAUACCAGGGAAAGCUUUGAAGAACCAAGAUUUGAGCAGGUUCUUAGAAUAUAGAUUGGAUUGGAUUUGAUUUCAAGAAAGAUGAACGUGUAAAGCAGAAGUGGGAAGCCAAAAACUUUUUUCCAAAUUAGAAUUAAGCAUUCUUUCAAUGAACAUUUGGAAAUCAAGGUAGAAAAAUAUCCCUAGGGCCUAGCUGAGGAGUCUGUAUGUUGUUGGGUUUUGAUAGUAACCAGUCCAAGAUUUUGUUAUUAGACGUGGGUUUCUGAAUAGACAGGCAUUUCUGAACAGACAUGACAGGAUCAAAACAAUGUUUGAGCAAACUGCCCUUCAUCUACUGUGGAUAUGUUGGGGGAUGAUGGAAUAUAGUGAAAGAUAAUGGGUGCUCAUACAGCAGUCUAGACUUAAGGUGAUUCAACUACUAUAUAUUAAACUAGAUUAUCUUUUAUUUUUUAAUUUUGAAAUCUGGAUGCUCAAGCUCUGCCUGCACAACCACAUGAGGAAGAAGGAACAAUGACAACAAAAAUAACACUAAAUUUAAAUUUAAGAGUACUACUUUUAGGAAAUAGACAAACCAUUAUUUGGGUACAACUAAAGGCAACUGGCAUGGACUCAAAUAUUUUGGGGAAGAAAAAGACUAAAAGUUCUAAGGAAGAAAAUGCGAACCUUGAUAGUUUGAAAUAGUUAAAAAGACAGUGUAGAAACUGCUUAGGCAGUUUGAUUAUGGACUAUUAGAUGAUACUUGGGUCUGAUAAUGGUAUAAGGAGAAUAAAGUAUUUAGGGAUCCAAUAUUACGCCUGCAGCUUUUUCCAAAUAGUUCAUGGGGGAGGGGGAUGUGUAAGUGGUUAACUGAAGUCUAACUAGAUAGGUUUGUUGUAAGCUUAGGAUGUUUACAGUUCUUCAUGUUAAGUUGAGCGUGAUGGGAAGGGAAAGAAUGCUGAUCUUUAAAUUUUUGUCCUUAGUUAAGUUCUGUAUUUAGUGAAUUAAUUGCAUCCUAAAAAGUCAAACUUGAAAAGCACAUUUUAAAUGGCAAAUCUAUUUUUUACAUGUUUGUGAAGUUUUUAUUUUUUAGUAAACAGACCAUCAGAAGAGAACAAUGGUACAGAGCAGGGGUCAGCAGAUGGAUUUUGUAAAGCAUCAACUUGUAAAUAUUUUCAAGUUUAUUAGCUGUAUGGCUCUGGUUUCUGUUCCCUGUUCCAAAUGUUAAAGUCUACUGUUGUAUUCUAAAAGCAGCCAUGGACUGAAUGUAGCUGUGUUCCAAUAAAACUUACACAAAAGCAGGCAGUGGGCCAUAAUUUGCAACACCUGAUUCACAGCAUAAUUUUGUCACAAACUGAAAGUGUUCCUCAAUUAAAGUGAUUUUUUUUUCUUGAUUUUUCUCUGGGAUUUAUUGUUUUUCCCAUUCCUUGCUAGGAUUUAACUACAGAAAGACAGAUAGUAACUGCUCUAAAUAUUCUAAUUUCCUUUAUUUUUUUGAGAUAAGGUGUCGCUCUGUUGCCCUGGCUGGAGUGCAGUGGCGUGAUCAUAGCUCACUGUAGCC
Molecule: long non-coding RNA, 9059 nt
Filed under: Homo sapiens (human)
Lineage: Eukaryota; Metazoa; Chordata; Mammalia; Primates; Hominidae
Description: non-protein coding PSMA3-AS1:12
Source: RNAcentral